AUGGAAAUGACCUGGGAGAGAAAGAAAAUUAGGAAAGAAAAAAAAAAAAAAGAGGAACGGACGAGUGCAAAGAUUGAAUGAUUCUAUAGCGAUCGCCUAAUGACACCAAGCCUCAUAAUAUCUCCCCCUAAAAAUCCACGCGUGAGUGUAGCAUUGAAAUAUUUUGUUUCGCUUUUCUAUUGGUCUUCUCGGUGUCGUUGUGGCGUUGUCAUGGCAGCCCUGCCAAUCACUGUCAAGCGUGCCAAUCAUUAGCCAGUACGUAGUGGCUUUCACCACUUGUGUGUGUGUGUGGGGGGGGUUAUCAGGAAGUCCGAUCUGAACACCGCCCUCCCUCCUGAAGCAGAAGCCGAGGCUCAGCCGAUUUGUUGAAUGGAAUGAGCAAUUAGUGGGUGGAAUAUUAUUGCGAUCUUAACGAGACUCGUUAAAGCUAAAGAAGAUAUGUAGUAAAGAGAAGGCAGGGGUGGCGGCUGCUUGGAGGAGAAGGAGAAAGAGGAGGAGGAGGAGGAGGAGGGUAACAGUCGCACAUGGAAUCCACAUUUAAAUGAAGGACUUGAAACGGAGUCUACAACACGCAGCGCGUGCGCUCACUAGACUAUAUGAACGUAAUCUCUAGACAUCUGUCGCUACCAAAUGCACAACGCUGUUUCAGAUUAUAGGGCGAGGUUUUCUUUUGCGAAUUUUCCUGAAUGGAUUGCAGUCGUCAGGUGACGGUGGUCUCACGAGCCUGAGCCCAUUUGGAGCGUUCAACUUUACAUCUACUUUUGUGAUUAGGCAGCACGCGCAGCAUCCGCUUCAGAAAAAUCCAAAAAAGUGCAAACGCGGCAUGCAGCUUUGUGGGCCGUCAGGAUGGGGCGCAACAGCCCCUUUUUAUUUGCCUAGUCGAAAGCUUUCAAGCUUUGUGUUGUGCAUCGUUCAGGACCUUUUGCAUAGCCGUAGCCUACAUAACGUGAUGCGGUUUUCUGACGCUCAGCUGGGGCACCGUGCACUGAUAACAACUUCCGCUCUUAUUGACAAGGAACAUUACGCCGUGUGGGCAAAGUCCAUCAUAUUGUACUCUGAAGGUUUUGUUCUCCACCACUUUGUCUUUUUUUUUUGUGUGGUCUCAUUAAGUGGACAUCCUGCUAGGUUUGCAGAAUUAUACGGAAGCUGUCCGAUCAAUGUAUGCGCACGGCUUGUUAGCGACAUUUAAUGAGGCUUCUCUGCGCACUGAGAGAAUGGCACCUCGAUGUUAGAUUUACCUUGUGUCAACUCGUUACUUCUAAAGAAGGCAUUGGAGGAUUCUCUGCUGAAUGGAACCAGGCGGCUGGAACUGUAGGCUCUCUUCUUCCGAGUUCUCUUGCCUAGCCAAACUCCAUAACGGUAUCUGUCUGUGUAGAGCUUUUUAUUUUUUUUAUUUUUUUAAAUCCAUCGACCUCUCAUAUAGAUAGACAUGCCUUUAUACCCAGACACGACAUAUAAUCACACGGCUAUAGCAAAGGCUCUAAAUACUGCUGUUUUGAUUGACCUGGGCAUCAAGUCAAUUGCAUCCCAAAAAGUUAUCGUUUGUAGUUGUAAUGCCAGAUAAAGCCAUAAACACACACUCAAAUAUAUUUUGCCGUCUAAUUAUCUAACCCUAACUCUAAUUAUAUAUGCGCCCCUCCCCCCCCCCCUUUUUUUUUUUUUUUUCUGAUCACGUUUCCAAGAUCCAGGCUGGCCAUAAUUUCCAUAACCAUAUACAUCAGAAUGGAUUGUGUCACUAUUCUCAAUGAUACAUACUAUGAGUAGUCUGUUUUUUUUAUGUUAUUUUGAUGUAUUAUUUGAACAAUUAUUUAUUUAUGGACCUGGGAAUAAUCGUGUUAGGAUUUUUCUAGCACGCAGUGUCAUUCAUAUGCAAAUGCAAAACAUCCAGUUUAGAUUAGACCAUCAUUUUAUGCAAAUCUGAAAAGAGAGAUAUUUAAAAAUUUAAAAAACGUGCAGAAUGAUGACGUGUAAUGAAGUCCUGGGGCAUUUUGAUUCAGGGAGUUCUAAAAUACUUUUAUAUACAUUCGUAGAUAUUACAUAAUACGUUAUAUAUCACAUUAGGGAAUGAUAUGAAUUGAGUGAAUAUAGUAUUAUCGAAUAAACAAUCAGUAUUAGUAUCAGCACAAACUAUUUGCACUACGUACACGUAAAUGGAUUUAUUUUUUUCCCCUCUGAACUUACUAUCAUAGACCCUUAUCCAAAUAAGAAAUACCAACUUUAAUUUUUUUUUAAUUAUUAAUAAUGGUCAGGUUAAAAAAGGGUAGACAAUUGGAGAAGCUUUUGAAAGCUCUACGUUUUGUAGGAGUGUUAUUACAAAUCGUAAAAACAUUUUGUAAAAAAGAAACAAAAAAACAAAAAAAAAAAAUUACGUUACUCUCAACACAUUAUUCCUCAUGCAAAAAUGCUAAACAUAUGCGAUCAUUAUCUCAUUAUACAGUAGUACUUUACAGUAAAUUAAUGACAUUACAUUUAAUAAAAAACGUAUACAUUAUACAUGUUCGUACUGUUUAAUUUAAUACUAAAACCUGCUACUUGUAAUUAGAUAUUAUUAUUAUUAUUAUUAUUAUUCAUAAUACGAACAUUUAUAAUGUAUUCAUUUUUCUUAUAUAUUAAUGUCAUCAAAGGUUAAAAAAUAUGUAAAGUUUCUAAUCUGUUUGUAUGUAAAAGUUAUAUAAUAUAAUGAAGUCUAAAGGUCUAGUUUAAUUAGGCUGUGGCACUUCUUUGUUGGUCAGAGCCACUGCAUAUCACAUUAAGGUUUAGUUUUAUUUUUACUUACUACUGGUAGUAAUAUUUUGUGUAUUUUUUAGUUAAGAUUGUUUUUUUCUGAGUUCUGGAUUUUUAUGCUUAUUUUUAUACUGGUAAAAUAUCAAUUCGUAGAGGUCAUGAGUGACAUUUUUAAUGUUAUGCUAUGUAAAGUGAAAUAAAACCGUUUGGAAAAAAAUUUAAAAA
Silurus meridionalis is the source of this 2949-nucleotide long non-coding RNA. RefSeq lists it as uncharacterized. The record is from RefSeq and is a predicted model, not a curated record. The transcript has 4 exons. NCBI's taxonomy places the organism in Eukaryota, Metazoa, Chordata, Actinopteri, Siluriformes, Siluridae.